GCUCCCGUAUUUCAAUGGAUAGAAUUCUGGCCUCCGAAGCCGGCGAUCUGGGUUCGACUCCCGGCGGGAGCGCCA
This 75-nucleotide transfer RNA is filed under the name Puniceicoccales bacterium. Its description in RNAcentral is "tRNA-Arg". It matches the Rfam family "tRNA". Rfam says of the family: Transfer RNA (tRNA) molecules are approximately 80 nucleotides in length. Their secondary structure includes four short double-helical elements and three loops (D, anti-codon, and T loops). Further hydrogen bonds mediate the characteristic L-shaped molecular structure. tRNAs have two regions of fundamental functional importance: the anti-codon, which is responsible for specific mRNA codon recognition, and the 3' end, to which the tRNAs corresponding amino acid is attached (by aminoacyl-tRNA synthetases). tRNAs cope with the degeneracy of the genetic code in two manners: having more than one tRNA (with a specific anti-codon) for a particular amino acid; and 'wobble' base-pairing, i.e. permitting non-standard base-pairing at the 3rd anti-codon position. The record is from RNAcentral. Lineage: Bacteria; Pseudomonadati; Verrucomicrobiota; Opitutia; Puniceicoccales.